Molecule: ribosomal RNA, 492 nt
Filed under: uncultured bacterium
Lineage: Bacteria
Description: partial 16S ribosomal RNA
Rfam family: Bacterial small subunit ribosomal RNA
Source: RNAcentral
AGUGAACGCUGGGGGUAGGCCUAACACAUGCAAGUCGAACGGCAGCACAGUAAGAGCUUGCUCUUACGGGUGGCGAGUGGCGGACGGGUGAGGAAUACAUCGGAAUCUACUUUUUCGUGGGGGAUAACGUAGGGAAACUUACGCUAAUACCGCAUACGACCUACGGGUGAAAGCAGGGGAUCUUCGGAACUUGCGCGAUUGAAUGAGCCGAUGUCGGAUUAGCUAGUUGGCGGGGUAAAGGCCCACCAAGGCGACGAUCCGUAGCUGGUCUGAGAGGAUGAUCAGCCACACUGGAACUGAGACACGGUCCAGACUCCUACGGGAGGCAGCAGUGGGGAAUAUUGGACAAUGGGCGCAAGCCUGAUCCAGCCAUACCGCGUGGGUGAAGAAGGCCUUCGGGUUGUAAAGCCCUUUUGUUGGGAAAGAAAAGCAGCAGGUUAAUACCCCGCUGUUCUGACGGUACCCAAAGAAUAAGCACCGGCUAACUUCGUG